GACGAACGCUGGCGGCGUGCCUAAUACAUGCAAGUCGAACGAACCGCGACUAGGUGCUUGCACUUGGUCAAGGUGAGUGGCGAACGGGUGAGUAACACGUGGGUAACCUACCUCAUAGUGGGGGAUAACAGUCGGAAACGACUGCUAAUACCGCAUAGGACAUAGGAUCACAUGAUCCAGUGAGGAAAGGUGGCGCAAGCUAUCGCUAAGAGAUGGGCCCGCGGUGCAUUAGCUAGUUGGUAGGGUAAAGGCCUACCAAGGCGAUGAUGCAUAGCCGACCUGAGAGGGUGAUCGGCCACAUUGGGACUGAGACACGGCCCAAACUCCUACUGGAGGCAGCAGUAGGGAAUCUUCCGCAAUGGACGCAAGUCUGACGGAGCAACGCCGCGUGAGUGAAGAAGGUCUUCGGAUCGUAAAGCUCUGUUGUUAGAGAAGAACAGCGCAUAGAGUAACUGUUAUGCGUGUGACGGUAUCUAACCAGAAAGCCACGGCUAACUACGUG
RNAcentral lists this ribosomal RNA (502 nucleotides) under uncultured bacterium. RNAcentral describes it as "partial 16S ribosomal RNA". It matches the Rfam family "Bacterial small subunit ribosomal RNA", at positions 28 to 507 of the family's 1533-position model. The record is from RNAcentral.